AUGGACUCGCGGCCUAUCAGUUUGUUGGUGAGGUGAUGGCUCACCAAGACGAUGACGGGUAGCCGGCCUGAGAGGGCGACCGGCCACACUGGGACUGAGACACGGCCCAGACUCCUACGGGAGGCAGCAGUGGGGAAUAUUGCACAAUGGGCGAAAGCCUGAUGCAGCGACGCCGCGUGGGGGAUGACGGCCUUCGGGUUGUAAACCCCUUUCAGUAGGGAAGAAGCGAGAGUGACGGUACCUGCAGAAGAAGCGCCGGCUAACUACGUGCCAGCAGCCGCGGUAAUACGUAGGGCGCAAGCGUUGUCCGGAAUUAUUGGGCGUAAAGAGCUUGUAGGUGGCUUGUCGCGUCUGCCGUGAAAACCCGAGGCUCAACCUCGGGCGUGCGGUGGGUACGGGCAGGCUAGAGUGUGGUAGGGGAGACUGGAACUCCUGGUGUAGCGGUGAAAUGCGCAGAUAUCAGGAAGAACACCGAUGGCGAAGGCAGGUCUCUGGGCCAUUACUGACACUGAGAAGCGAAAGCAUGGGUAGCGAACAGGAUUAGAUACC
This 549-nucleotide ribosomal RNA is filed under the name Brachybacterium sp. RNAcentral describes it as "bacterial SSU rRNA". It matches the Rfam family "Bacterial small subunit ribosomal RNA", at positions 225 to 786 of the family's 1533-position model. Lineage: Bacteria; Bacillati; Actinomycetota; Actinomycetes; Micrococcales; Dermabacteraceae. The record is from RNAcentral.